RNAcentral lists this ribosomal RNA (492 nucleotides) under uncultured bacterium. Its description in RNAcentral is "partial 16S ribosomal RNA". It matches the Rfam family "Bacterial small subunit ribosomal RNA", at positions 29 to 507 of the family's 1533-position model. The record is from RNAcentral.
AGUGAACGCUGGCGGUAGGCCUAACACAUGCAAGUCGAACGGCAGCACAGUAAGAGCUUGCUCUUACGGGUGGCGAGUGGCGGACGGGUGAGGAAUACAUCGGAAUCUACUUUUUCGUGGGGGAUAACGUAGGGAAACUUACGCUAAUACCGCAUACGACCUACGGGUGAAAGCAGGGGAUCUUCGGACCUUGCGCGAUUGAAUGAGCCGAUGUCGGAUUAGCUAGUUGGCGGGGUAAAGGCCCACCAAGGCGACGAUCCGUAGCUGGUCUGAGAGGAUGAUCAGCCAAACUGGAACUGAGACACGGUCCAGACUCCUAAGGGAGGCAGGAGGGGGGAAUUUUGGACAAUGGGCGCAAGCCUGAUCCAGCCAUACCGCGUGGGUGAAGAAGGCCUUCGGGUUGUAAAGCCCUUUUGUUGGGAAAGAAAAGCAGCAGGUUAAUACCCCGCUGUUCUGACGGUACCCAAAGAAUAAGCACCGGCUAACUUCGUG